AUACCCCCUAUACCCCCUAUAUACCCCCUAUACCCCCCAUAUACGCCCUAUAUACCCCCUAUACCCCUUAUACCCCCAUAUACCCCUAUACCCCCAUAUACCCCCAUAUACCCCCAUAUACCCCCUAUACCCCCCAUAUACCCCCCAUACCCCCCCUAUACCCCCAUAUAUACCCCCCUAUACCCCCUAUAUACCCCCUAUACCCCCCCAUACACCCCCCCAUAUACCCCCCAUAUACCCCCCAUAUACCCCCUAUACCCCCCAUAUACCCCAUAUACCCCCUAUACCCCCCAUAUACCCCCUAUAUACCCCCCAUAUAUCCCCAUAUAUACCCCCAUAUACCCCCAUAUACCCCCUAUAUACCCCCCAUAUAUCCCCAUAUAUACCCCCAUAUACCCCCCAUAUACCCCCUAUAUACCAUCCAUAUACCCCCAUAUACCCCCCAUAUACCCCUAUAAACCCCCUAUAUACCCCCCAUAUACCCCCCAUAUAACCCCUAUAUACCCCCCAUAUACCCCCUAUAUACCCUCUAUAUACCCCCUAUAUACCCCCUAUACCCCACCAUAUACCCCCAAUACCCCCCAUAUACCCCCUAUAUACCCCCUGUAUACCACCUAUACCCCCCAUAUACCCCCCAUAUACCCCCCAUAUACCCCCUAUAUACCCCCUAUAUACCCCCUAUACCCCCUAUAUACCCCCUAUAUACCCCCUAUACCCCCUAUAUACCCCCUAUAUACCCCCUAUAUACCCCCUAUACCCCCUAUAUACCCCCCAUAUACCCCCUAUACCCCCCAUAUACCCCCUAUACCCCCAUAUACCCCCCAUAUACCCCCUAUAUACCCCCUAUAUACCCCAUAUACCCCCCCUAUACCCCCCAUAUACCCCCUAUACCCCCAUAUACCCCCCAUAUACCCCCCAUAUACCCCCUAUAUACCCCCUAUACCCCCCCAUAUACCCCCCAUAUACCCCCUAUAUACCCCCUAUACCCCAUAUACCCCCCAUAUACCCCCCAUAUACCCCCCAUAUACCCCCUAUAUACCCCCUAUACCCCUCCCCCCCCAUAGUGGCAGCCCUGAAGCGGCUCCUCCCCUCCCCCCUCCCCUCCCCCCCCCCCCCCCCCUGCGCGGGACGAGAUCGAGGCUCCGGAUGGGGGAGGGGCAGGGGUCACGUGUCCCCCCCCCGAGGUGGGGGAGGAGCUGCAGGGGCUGGAGGAGACUCUGCUGAAGCUGAAGGAGCUGGAGCAGAGCUUCUGGCAGCUCAGAGAGACCCUGAGCAAGGCUGGACCCACAGGAGGCAGCGACACGUGAGGGGCAGGUAUGGGGCACUAUGGGGCUCUAUGGGGCUCUAUGGGUCUCUAUGGGUCUCUAUGGGGUCUCUAUGGGGUCUCUAUGUGUCCCUAUGGGGUCUCUAUGGGUCUCUAUGGGGUCUCUAUGGGGCUCUAUGGGUCUCUAUGGGGUCUCUAUGGGGUCCGUAUGGGUCUCUAUGGGGUCUGUAUGGGGUCUCUAUGGGGCUCUAUGGGGUCUCUAUGGGGCUCUAUGGGGUUCUAUGGGGUCUCUAUGGGGCUCUAUGGGGCUCUAUGGGGUCUCAAUGGGGUCUCUAUGGGGUCUCUAUGUGUCCCUAUAGGUCUCUAUGGGGUCUCUAUGGGGUCUCUGUAUGUCCCCUCCCCUCUCUCCCCCAGGCCCCUACAGACGCACCCGGACCCCCCAUUGCAAUGGUUCACCCCCCCCCACGCUUGUGCCUUCUAUAGGACCCCCCAAUCUAUGGGGCUGGGAAGGGGGGGGGGGGUCCCAGAGCUAUGGGGCAGCUUUGGGCCCCUCCCCCAUGGAUUUUGGGUGGAAAACCCAAAGAAUUGGGAAAAACCCCAAUAAAAAUGAUGCUUUUGCC
This 1884-nucleotide long non-coding RNA is filed under the name Melopsittacus undulatus (budgerigar). RNAcentral describes it as "lncRNA (ENSMUNG00000018446.1)". Lineage: Eukaryota; Metazoa; Chordata; Aves; Psittaciformes; Psittaculidae. The record is from RNAcentral.